UACGUAGGGUGCAAGCGUUAAUCGGAAUUACUGGGCGUAAAGCGUGCGCAGGCGGUUAUGUAAGACAGGUGUGAAAUCCCCGGGCUUAACCUGGGAACUGCAUUUGUGACUGCAUAGCUAGAGUACUGGUAGAGGGGGAUGGGAAUUCCGCGUGUAGGCAGUGAAAUGCGUAGAUAUGCGGAGGAACACCGAUGGCGAAGGCAAUCCCCUGGACCUGUACUGACGCUCAUGCACGAAAGCGUGGGGAGCAACAGG
This 255-nucleotide ribosomal RNA is filed under the name uncultured bacterium. RNAcentral describes it as "partial 16S ribosomal RNA". It matches the Rfam family "Bacterial small subunit ribosomal RNA", at positions 524 to 775 of the family's 1533-position model. The record is from RNAcentral.